CUUGACGACCAUAGAGCAUUGGAACCACCUGAUCCCAUCCCGAACUCAGCAGUGAAACGAUGUAUCNGAAUUCCGAAACCCCUCAUCGCUCACGCGAUGAGGGUUUUUGUCGUUGUGG
Molecule: ribosomal RNA, 118 nt
Filed under: Pseudomonas syringae pv. actinidiae ICMP 19096
Lineage: Bacteria; Pseudomonadati; Pseudomonadota; Gammaproteobacteria; Pseudomonadales; Pseudomonadaceae
Source: RNAcentral